RNAcentral lists this long non-coding RNA (1028 nucleotides) under Eucalyptus grandis. Its description in RNAcentral is "long non-coding RNA (EGRA_LNC002295)". Lineage: Eukaryota; Viridiplantae; Streptophyta; Magnoliopsida; Myrtales; Myrtaceae. The record is from RNAcentral.
CAAUUCUAAAGUAUCGAUGAAUGGUCUCAGUGGACCUAUUGAACCUUGACCCUAUUACUCUCAACCUCACAUUAUGCCCUAAAAUAUGGCAAAAUACCAGCAAUUGCUCCUUAAUUAACACAUUUACUGUUUUGUGUAAAAAAUGCUUUGACCUAAAGACUCUACAUAAUUCAAAGAAAACUUGUGGUCUCAUACGUAUUUGAUUGACACAAUUAGUAUCUCCUGAAUGUAAAAUGCGAUUAAUGAAUAACUCUCUCUCAAAAUCUCUUUCUCCCCGUGGCGCUCUAGGUAUUUGACUACUAAAAGCUUCAUCCUCCAUUACUCACAUACCAUAUGCCAUUAUUGACGCAGCUGCACCCAUUUUCCAUCUACAAGCAAUAAUAAGAAUUUUCUAACCCUAUUAUGAUAGAUGUUUUAUCUUAAGGGUAAACCCAAUAUCAAACAUUUAAUAAAUAAAUAAAUUGUUAAAAGGAUUAAGAAGGCUAGUGCAGCAACAUUAGCAAUAACAGAAUCAACUCUCGAAGGAACAUGUAAACCAGCCAUUUACAUGAUGCACAAGAUACUACUAGUUUUGAUUUCACAGGAAAUAUGGUAAGAUAUUCAUAAUCUAUUAAACAGAUUGAAAAAUCAGCAAGUGAAAAAUCCCUGAAAGAUAAACCUCAAGGGUAUGCCUCUAAGGGAACUUCAUUAAUAAAUUCAGGCAUGCCAAAUGCAGAUAUUCCAGAAACGAGAGCAUCUUGGCCAUUGCAAUCAUCACUUACUAGUAUUUAGAACACAAGGGAAUAAGAUGUUAAUGACAUGCACUAAAACUAACGAGUGAAACAUGCGGUGAAGAAAGAAUCUUUCUACUUUGCAAAACUUGCUUUGUCAAUGGUCCAAGUGUCACAUAAUCAUUUGUAGCAUAAGCAAGACUUAGAGUAGUUGACAACGAAGAAAGUUUGAACAUUUGACUAACAGGUUUAUAUAUCAAGGAAGCUCUUCUUACCAACACUCGAUCCGAUAUUAACUGUCUCACCAAUUGCUCUAAU